AGGGUUUGAUCAUGGCUCAGGAUGAACGCUGGCGGCGUGCUUAACACAUGCAAGUCGAACGAACCUUCGGGUUAGUGGCGGACGGGUGAGUAACGCGUGAGAAUCUGCCCUCAGGAGGGGGAUAACGGUUGGAAACGACCGCUAAUACCCCAUAUGCCUAUUGGUGAAAUGAAUUUCGCCUGAGGAUGAGCUCGCGUCUGAUUAGCUAGUUGGUGAGGUAAUGGCUCACCAAGGCUUCGAUCAGUAGCUGGUCUGAGAGGAUGAUCAGCCACACUGGGACUGAGACACGGCCCAGACUCCUACGGGAGGCAGCAGUGGGGAAUUUUCCGCAAUGGGCGAAAGCCUGACGGAGCAACGCCGCGUGAGGGACGAAGGCCUCUGGGCUGUAAACCUCUUUUCUCAAGGAAGAAGAUAUGACGGUACUUGAGGAAUAAGCCACGGCUAAUUCCGUGCCAGCAGCCGCGGUAAUACGGGAGUGGCAAGCGUUAUCCGGAAUUAUUGGGCGUAAAGCGUCCGCAGGCGGCUUUUCAAGUCUGCUGUUAAAGCGUGGAGCUUAACUCCAUCAUGGCAGUGGAAACUGAAAGGCUUGAGUAUGGUAGGGGCAGAGGGAAUUCCCGGUGUAGCGGUGAAAUGCGUAGAUAUCGGGAAGAACACCAGUGGCGAAGGCGCUCUGCUGGGCCAUUACUGACGCUCAUGGACGAAAGCCAGGGGAGCGAAAGGGAUUAGAUACCCCUGUAGUCCUGGCCGUAAACGAUGAACACUAGGUGUCGGGGGAAUCGACCCCUUCGGUGUCGUAGCUAACGCGUUAAGUGUUCCGCCUGGGGAGUACGCACGCAAGUGUGAAACUCAAAGGAAUUGACAGGGGCCCGCACAAGCGGUGGAGUAUGUGGUUUAAUUCGAUGCAACGCGAGAACUUACCAGGGUUUGACAUCCUGCGAACCUCUUAGAAAUUUGAGGGUGCCUUCGGGAAUGCAGUGACAGGUGGUGCAUGGCUGUCGUCAGCUCGUGUCGUGAGAUGUUGGGUUAAGUCCCGCAACGAGCGCAACCCACGUUUUUAGUUGCCAGCAUUUAGUUGGGCACUCUAGAAAGACCGCCGGUGAUAAACCGGAGGAAGGUGUGGAUGACGUCAAGUCAUCAUGCCCCUUACACCCUGGGCUACACACGUACUACAAUGCUACGGACAAAGGGCAGCAAACUCGCGAGAGCUAGCAAAUCCCAUAAACCGUGGCUCAGUUCAGAUCGUAGGCUGCAACUCGCCUACGUGAAGUAGGAAUCGCUAGUAAUCGCAGGUCAGCAUACUGCGGUGAAUACGUUCCCGGGCCUUGUACACACCGCCCGUCACACCAUGGAAGUUGGCCAUGCCCGAAGUCGUUACUCCAACCCUUGUGGAGGAGGACGCCGAAGGUGGGGCUAAUGACUGGGGUGAAGUCAUAACAAGGUAGCCGUA
RNAcentral lists this ribosomal RNA (1447 nucleotides) under uncultured bacterium. RNAcentral describes it as "bacterial SSU rRNA". It matches the Rfam family "Bacterial small subunit ribosomal RNA". The record is from RNAcentral.